GUAAGGAAUAUUGCACAAUGGGGGAAACCCUGAUGCAGCAACGCCGCGUGGGCGACGAAGGCCUUCGGGUCGUAAAGCCCUUUUCUGAGGGAAGAGGAAGGACGGUACCUCAGGAAUAAGUCUCGGCUAACUACGUGCCAGCAGCCGCGGUAAAACGUAGGAGGCGAGCGUUAUCCGGAUUUACUGGGCGUAAAGCGCGUGCAGGUGGCUUGGCAAGUUGGGCGUGAAAUCUCCUGGCUUAACUGGGAGGGGUCGUCCAAUACUGUUAGGCUUGAGUGCAGGAGAGGGAAGCGGAAUUCCCGGUGUAGCGGUAAUAUGCGCAGAUAUCGGGAGGAACACCAGUGGCGAAGGCGGCUUCCUGGCCUGUUACUGACGCUAAGACGCGAAAGCUAGGGGAGCGAACGGGAUUAGAAACCCCGGUAGUCC
RNAcentral lists this ribosomal RNA (426 nucleotides) under uncultured bacterium. RNAcentral describes it as "bacterial SSU rRNA". It matches the Rfam family "Bacterial small subunit ribosomal RNA", at positions 354 to 796 of the family's 1533-position model. The record is from RNAcentral.